This 532-nucleotide ribosomal RNA is filed under the name Bifidobacterium breve. RNAcentral describes it as "bacterial SSU rRNA". It matches the Rfam family "Bacterial small subunit ribosomal RNA", at positions 157 to 700 of the family's 1533-position model. Lineage: Bacteria; Bacillati; Actinomycetota; Actinomycetes; Bifidobacteriales; Bifidobacteriaceae. The record is from RNAcentral.
CGGGUGGUAAUGCCGGAUGCUCCAUCACACCGCAUGGUGUUUGGGAAAGCCUUUGCGGCAUGGGAUGGGGUCGCGUCCUAUCAGCUUGAUGGCGGGGUAACGGCCCACCAUGGCUUCGACGGGUAGCCGGCCUGAGAGGGCGACCGGCCACAUUGGGACUGAGAUACGGCCCAGACUCCUACGGGAGGCAGCAGUGGGGAAUAUUGCACAAUGGGCGCAAGCCUGAUGCAGCGACGCCGCGUGAGGGAUGGAGGCCUUCGGGUUGUAAACCUCUUUUGUUAGGGAGCAAGGCAUUUUGUGUUGAGUGUACCUUUCGAAUAAGCACCGGCUAACUACGUGCCAGCAGCCGCGGUAAUACGUAGGGUGCAAGCGUUAUCCGGAAUUAUUGGGCGUAAAGGGCUCGUAGGCGGUUCGUCGCGUCCGGUGUGAAAGUCCAUCGCUUAACGGUGGAUCCGCGCCGGGUACGGGCGGGCUUGAGUGCGGUAGGGGAGACUGGAAUUCCCGGUGUAACGGUGGAAUGUGUAGAUAUCGG